UACGUAGGGGGCAAGCGUUAUCCGGAUUUACUGGGUGUAAAGGGAGCGUAGACGGCACGGCAAGCCAGAUGUGAAAGCCCGGGGCUCAACCCCGGGACUGCAUUUGGAACUGCUGAGCUAGAGUGUCGGAGAGGCAAGUGGAAUUCCUAGUGUAGCGGUGAAAUGCGUAGAUAUUAGGAGGAACACCAGUGGCGAAGGCGGCUUGCUGGACGAUGACUGACGUUGAGGCUCGAAAGCGUGGGGGGCAAACAGG
This 253-nucleotide ribosomal RNA is filed under the name Dorea longicatena. RNAcentral's name for it is "partial 16S ribosomal RNA". It matches the Rfam family "Bacterial small subunit ribosomal RNA", at positions 524 to 776 of the family's 1533-position model. Lineage: Bacteria; Bacillati; Bacillota; Clostridia; Lachnospirales; Lachnospiraceae. The record is from RNAcentral.